RNAcentral lists this RNase P RNA (397 nucleotides) under Ureibacillus sp. FSL W7-1570. RNAcentral describes it as "RNase P RNA component class B". It matches the Rfam family "Bacterial RNase P class B". Rfam says of the family: Ribonuclease P (RNase P) is a ubiquitous endoribonuclease, found in archaea, bacteria and eukarya as well as chloroplasts and mitochondria. Lineage: Bacteria; Bacillati; Bacillota; Bacilli; Caryophanales; Caryophanaceae. RNAcentral also lists the same sequence under 1 other name. The record is from RNAcentral.
GAUUUCGAGUAAUCGCUGCAAACGUUCUAUGUUUGUAGAGGAAAGUCCAUGCUCACACGGCUCUGAGAUGACCGUAGUGUUCGUGCUUACCGAAAAAAUAAGGUAAGGCAAAGCUCUUGCAGCUUUGACGGCGGAAGGAAGACCUAAGUCGCAACUGGCGAUAUGGUCGACACUUCCUGAAAAGUGCCACAGUGACGUAGCUUCACUGGAAACGGUGAAGGUGGAACGCGGUAAACCCCACGAGUGAGAAACCCAAAUUAUGGUAGGGGCGCCCCCCCGAAGGAAAUGAACGGAGGGGGGGACGGGGAGGAUUUCUUCCCGUAGAUAGAUGAUUACUACCUGACAGUACGAGGCGAAAGCCGUUCGAGUACGCAGGGACAGAACAUGGCUUAUAGAA